This 468-nucleotide ribosomal RNA is filed under the name uncultured bacterium. RNAcentral describes it as "partial 16S ribosomal RNA". It matches the Rfam family "Bacterial small subunit ribosomal RNA", at positions 28 to 507 of the family's 1533-position model. The record is from RNAcentral.
GACGAACGCUGGCGGCGUGCUUAACACAUGCAAGUCGAACGGAAAGGCCCUGCUUUUGUGGGGUGCUCGAGUGGCGAACGGGUGAGUAACACGUGAGUAACCUGCCCUUGACUUUGGGAUAACUUCAGGAAACUGGGGCUAAUACCGGAUAGGAGCUCCUGCUGCAUGGUGGGGGUUGGAAAGUUUCGGCGGUUGGGGAUGGACUCGCGGCUUAUCAGCUUGUUGGUGGGGUAGUGGCUUACCAAGGCUUUGACGGGUAGCCGGCCUGAGAGGGUGACCGGCCACAUUGGGACUGCGAUACGGCCCAGACUCCUACGGGAGGCAGCAGUGGGGAAUAUUGCACAAUGGGCGGAAGCCUGAUGCAGCACCGCCGCGUGCGGGAUGACGGCCUUCGGGUUGUAAACCGCUUUCGCCUGUGACGAAGCGUGAGUGACGGUAAUGGGUAAAGAAGCACCGGCUAACUACGUG